CAGUGUUAGAAAAAUGAGACAAGAUGCAUAACCGAGCAUUAUCAGCCGAUUGAAAACAUUUAUUAAUUGUCAAUCAUGAUUGUAUAAUUUGCAUCACUUAUAUUAAUUACAUUUUUUUUAGUUUAACUCCACCCAUUUGUCUCGCAGAAAUUUCUUUUUCUAUUGUCAUAUGUUGUCGAACUGGCGGACACAGUCUCGCCGCCAGGACAAAAAGGGAGAAUAAUAAACGUCGAUACGAAUAAUUAACGAAAUAAUGAUCGCGUCAUUAUGUAUACGAAUGCGACGUGAUUAAAAGCCGGCGGGGCGAGGGAUGCGGAAGAGACGGAGGACGGUAAUCGGCGGACACACGCACACACAUACACUCGACGCGCGUAUUAAUUGCUAAUUAUUAAGUAUUGAUUUUUUUAAAUGGGGACGUGGAGCGUAGCGCCGCGUCUCCGCUCCCCCCGCAGGGGGAGGCUGCUCGUUCGCGACAAGUAUCCGCGGACUAUUUUCCGCGCGGCGCACAAAAACGCGAGGCGUGCGCGCGCGUAGUAACACCCGGCGCCGCGAGAAAUGGCGGGAAAAGCGUGGGAUCGCGAGGCGGUUAUUUCGAGUGUCGGUGCACUCGUGAGCGGCAAAACGUACGUCGUGCAUGAACGGAAGUCGCGACAUCAACGAGAGAACAAUCGGCAGCGCGGACGAGCGGUUUUGUGGCGCGAUACGCGAAUGCGAAAUAACGAUAAAGACGAAAAAAAUUGGCGGCUUGUCGCGGCGCCGGCCAAGAUGGCGAACCAAUUAAGAGUGCCGCGCGCGGAUGCGCGUUUUAUUCUACCGCAUGGUCGCGCGUCGCCGUCGUCAUCGUCGUCGUUGCAUUGAUGUAAUAUGCGAUUUUCGUGGAGCGCCCGCUACGACAGCGGCGGCGGAGAUCGUCCGUUGCGUUCGCGCGCCGACUAUCGUGGAAUAAAUACAUACACACGCGCACGCGGUGGCCGCGGGGCGCGCCGCGCGCCGCGCCGCGUCGCAAAGCGCCGGCGGAAUCCAUAAAUAAAACAAUUGGUUAUAUACAUAUGUUUUUCAAAUCGACGAAUGCUAUUAUAUAUUUUGUAUUGAGCACUCGGCACUCGGGGGGAGACGGACGGACGGACUGCACGCCGACGCCCGACGACUACGUCCGCGGAGAGCCGUGCGUCUGUUUUUAUAAAGAGCACACGGCGGGCACCGACGUCGUCGCGUCGCGUCGCGCCGUGCCGCGCGGCUUAUAAUCUCGCCCAAUCCGCGACUCCACUCAUAAAGUAUACGGCGGAACAAAAAAAGAGGGAAAAUCGUUAUAGAAUAAUCAAGCCGUCGCUCGUUCGUACGCGCUCGUUUCACUCGCACGUUUUUCGGGCCGCCGCCGGGCAGGCACACGCGCUUCUUCUCGGUCCGCGCACCGCUCCGUCGCAUCCUCGCGGCCGAGGAUGCUGCUACGUCGUCGUCCGGGUAUAUGAAAGCGAUCGCGUCGCGGGGCGUUUCGGUGCGUCCUGGCCGUCGUCUGGCGUAGAAUGAGAAAAAAAGAAAAGGUCGCCAACGUCGCGUGAAGUCCGCGUGCGUGCUUAUCGUUAUUAUUCGCAUCUCUCUCUUUCUCUUUCUCUCCGCGGAAGAUCACGGAAAAGAAAAAGUCUUCCAGCCGUGGAACAGGAGGAAAAACUCAUUAUUCCUGGCACGCUACUCCUUUUUUUAUCGCUCCUCUCCUCGCCUCGUUCUUCCCGCCCGAUUCUCAUCCGAUUUCAACCCGUCUGUUCUCUCGCAUUUUUGAAAUGGGCACAGCGGCACGCGAUCUCCAGCAGCAGCAGCGCGAUCGGCAAGCGGACCGGUCUUUGUCGCAGUGCCGGAUUUGUGCGGCCGACAUCGUCGACGACGACGGGAUGAACAUUUUCGCCGAGGACGGCCGGCGUCACUACCUGCAGACCAAGAUACGCAAAUAUCUGUACAUCCUGGUCUUAUCUGAGGAUAAAUAUUCAAAAAUGGUGUGUUCCAUAUGUAUUAAGAGACUGGAAGGUGUUCAUCGUUUUGCAAUGAUGGCAUACCGCGCCCAAGAAAAAUUGAGAUUACAGCCAUAUGUUAACAUUGACAAUACGAAUUCUGUACAAGAUGACGAAAUGCAAAGUAUUAAAGAUACGCAAGAAAUUGCAAAGAAAACGGAAGACCGAGGGCUAUUACAUUCAAUAUUGACAAAGGGUGCAAUAGAAAUUUUGACUGACGACGAACCACUGGGACCAGCGGAGUCAAAUUCCCAAGAGGACAAACGUCAUACCCCAAGCAUGGAGGAAAUGGAGGUGAAAGUGGAUCCAAUGCUAUUUUUACAAUGCGGUAUGGAACAAUCUGCGUCGGAAGCUUCGGAUUUUUCAGACAACGAGGAAGACGUAAUAAAAACACAUUCACCGGAGCCGCUACCUUUAAUAAACAAAAGUAUUGAAGCAGAAGACGAGGAAGAAGAAGAAGAAGAAGAAGAGAAGAACGACGAAAGCGAGACAAAAGCGUCUGAGGAUAGUAAGAAAAGCGUGUCCGAUUCAAUAGUGAAACCACACAAAUGUACAAUAUGUACCCGAGCUUUUAUAUCGCAAAUCGGUUUGCAAAAUCACUUGUGGUCGCAUUUACCCAGAGAGAGAAAAUUCGGAAAGCCUAUUUUACGAUCUCAACACGUUUAUUCCACGAACGGUGUACUUCACACGAGCAGUGAUAAUUCGUCCAAUUUCGUCUGUCCAAUCUGCACUAAAAAGAUUUCUACGAAGGGAAAUUUGAAAGUGCAUUUAGAGACCCACAGGCCUAAAGGAAAGUACGGCUGCGACAUAUGUGGAAGAAUUUUCAAAACACAAUCGAAUCUAUUCAGACACAAGGAAUAUCACGGCGGCAUACAGUUUCCGUGUAACGUCUGCGGGAGAGUGUAUCCAACGAAUUCGACGUUGCGCGCCCACAGUAUCACGCAUUCAGACUUGAGACCGCACGCAUGCCCGCUUUGUGACAAAACGUUCAAGCGAAAUCAAGAUCUGAAAUUCCACAUAAAUCAGCACACGGGUGCGAGGCCUUAUCAGUGUCCUUACUGUCCGAAAGCUUUCGCAAGCUCCGGUAAUUGUUUUUCGCAUCGUAAAAGAAUGCAUCCCCGGGAGGUCUAUCGGGACCGGCAAAGAGCGGCGGAUUUAAUGAGAUGAACCAUGGGCAGUCAGUACGAAGAUUGGUCUUAAGAGAAUCUCGGAUAAAUGUUCUGUCAAGCGAUCAAGAGGAUACUCCACAGGGAGCUUUAUACGGAACAUAUAUAUCGACCAAAAAAGAGAAAGAGAGAAAGGGACAAAAAAAAAAGAAAAUUUGUGGAAAGAAAAAAAAGUUUUGUAGUCUGUGACAUAUUUUUAGCACAACACGAACAUCAUCAUAAAUGUUAAGACUGUAUACGAAAAUUAUGUGUCAAAUUAGGUAGUAAUUUUAAGGAUGAACAAGACAUACGCGUCACAUGAAACAAGACUAGUCGUCGCAGUAUUAAUUAUUAAUAAGGUGUAGGCGCCGUAAUCGAUAUUACGAGUACGGUUAUAACGUUAUUCUUAUAAGCGAGAUAUAUGAGGUAAAUGUUAAACAGAAGUCUGAGUAGCUUUAGGGAGGUAUAGUUAAGUUACCGUUAGUGAAUUAGUUAAUUCGUGUAACGUAGAUAAUAGUCCGUGCUUCCGUAUAACGUAUACAUUCGCACACGUGCUGAAACAUCGCAGAAGCCAUAAAUGGGAAGCGUGUAGGCCAAAAAAAAAAGGGAAAAAGAAAGAAGUACACACAUGUAACAGUCAGUACACAAACAAUAAGUAGCAUAUUACGUAUCGCAGAGACAAAAAAAAUCCACAUGUAAUCACUUUAUUAAUGCAGCAUUAUUCAUGCUCAUAGAGAUACAAACGUGUAUUUUGCGAUUACGUUUUUUCCGGACGCUUGCCGACGUAUAUUAUAUAUACAUACACUUAUAGAAAUAGGCAACAAUAAGUAGUGGUUAUAUAUAUUAUAUAUAUAUACACAAAAAUAAUCAAUUUUUGACAGAGAAAGAGAGAGCAUCUGAGGCGAUUGUAAUGCUCGCAGCUCAACCUUGCAUCAUUCUUGCAUCUUAGAUCUUAGAGAAUCAAAAAUUGAGUAUUUUUCUAAAGCCGACACACCAAAGACAGCUCUAGCAAUUGAGAUUAGUGAUUACAAAUAUUUCAGAAGUGCCAGUUGUAACGCAGAAAAUUCGUAGCGUAUUCAGCAGCAGACAAAUACCGGAGAAGAGGAUCAUUUUGUAGAGUUAGUUAAUGCGGAAUAUACCAUCUGUGACGUAUAUAUAAAUAAAUUCGUUGUAUAAAAUGAA
Molecule: non-coding RNA, 4330 nt
Organism: Linepithema humile (Argentine ant)
Lineage: Eukaryota; Metazoa; Arthropoda; Insecta; Hymenoptera; Formicidae
Source: RefSeq, a predicted model, not a curated record